CAAGGAAUCUUCCCCAAUGGGCGACAGCCUGAGGGAGCAACGCCGCGUGGAGGAUGACGGCCUUCGGGUUGUAAACUCCUUUUGUCGGGGACGAAACGGACGGUACCCGGCGAAUCAGCCCCGGCUAACUCUGUGCCAGCAGCCGCGGUAAUACAGAGGGGGCAAGCGUUGUCCGGACUUACUGGGCGUACAGCGCGCGCAGGCGGUCGUGUAUGUGCUUGGUGACAUCCUCCCGCUUAACGGGAGGCGGCCCAGGUAGACAGCGCGACUGGAGGCAGGGAGAGGGAUGUGGAAUGCCCGGUGGAGCGGUGAAAUGCGUAGAGAUCGGGCGGAACACCAGCGGCGAAGGCGGCAUCCUGGCCCUGACCUGACGCUGAGGCGCGAUAGCGUGGGGAGCAAACGG
RNAcentral lists this ribosomal RNA (403 nucleotides) under uncultured bacterium. Its description in RNAcentral is "bacterial SSU rRNA". It matches the Rfam family "Bacterial small subunit ribosomal RNA", at positions 355 to 775 of the family's 1533-position model. The record is from RNAcentral.